RNAcentral lists this ribosomal RNA (684 nucleotides) under Sphingomonas sp. Its description in RNAcentral is "bacterial SSU rRNA". It matches the Rfam family "Bacterial small subunit ribosomal RNA", at positions 22 to 751 of the family's 1533-position model. The record is from RNAcentral. Lineage: Bacteria; Pseudomonadati; Pseudomonadota; Alphaproteobacteria; Sphingomonadales; Sphingomonadaceae.
GCUCAGAACGAACGCUGGCGGCAUGCCUAACACAUGCAAGUCGAACGAGUGCCUUCGGGUGCUAGUGGCGCACGGGUGCGUAACGCGUGGGAAUCUGCCCUUUGGUUCGGAAUAACAGCUGGAAACGGCUGCUAAUACCGGAUGAUGACGAAAGUCCAAAGAUUUAUCGCCAGAGGAUGAGCCCGCGUUGGAUUAGGUAGUUGGUGGGGUAAAGGCCUACCAAGCCGACGAUCCAUAGCUGGUCUGAGAGGAUGAUCAGCCACACUGGGACUGAGACACGGCCCAGACUCCUACGGGAGGCAGCAGUGGGGAAUAUUGGACAAUGGGCGCAAGCCUGAUCCAGCAAUGCCGCGUGAGUGAUGAAGGCCCUAGGGUUGUAAAGCUCUUUUACCCGGGAAGAUAAUGACUGUACCGGGAGAAUAAGCCCCGGCUAACUCCGUGCCAGCAGCCGCGGUAAUACGGAGGGGGCUAGCGUUGUUCGGAAUUACUGGGCGUAAAGCGCACGUAGGCGGCUUUGUAAGUCAGAGGUGAAAGCCUGGAGCUCAACUCCAGAACUGCCUUUGAGACUGCAUCGCUUGAAUCCAGGAGAGGUCAGUGGAAUUCCGAGUGUAGAGGUGAAAUUCGUAGAUAUUCGGAAGAACACCAGUGGCGAAGGCGGCUGACUGGACUGGUAUGACGCUGAGG